RNAcentral lists this ribosomal RNA (407 nucleotides) under bacterium. RNAcentral describes it as "partial 16S ribosomal RNA". It matches the Rfam family "Bacterial small subunit ribosomal RNA", at positions 355 to 776 of the family's 1533-position model. The record is from RNAcentral.
UGGGGAAUAUUGGACAAUGGACCGAGAGUCUGAUCCAGCAAUUCUGUGUGCACGAUGAAGUUUUUCGGAAUGUAAAGUGCUUUCAGUUGGGAAGAAAGAAAUGACGGUACCAACAGAAGAAGUGACGGCUAAAUACGUGCCAGCAGCCGCGGUAAUACGUAUGUCACGAGCAUUAUCCGGAUUUAUUGGGCGUAAAGCGCGUCUAGGUGGUUAUGUAAGUCUGAUGUGAAAAUGCAGGGCUCAACUCUGUAUUGCGUUGGAAACUGUAUAACUAGAGUACUGGAGAGGUAAGCGGAACUACAAGUGUAGAGGUGAAAUUCGUAGAUAUUUGUAGGAAUGCCGAUGGGGAAGCCAGCUUACUGGACAGAUACUGACGCUAAAGCGCGAAAGCGUGGGUAGCAAACAGG